AUUGAACGCUGGCGGCAGGCCUAACACAUGCCAGUCGAGCGGAUGAAGGGAGCUUGCUCCUGGAUUCAGCGGCGGACGGGUGAGUAAUGCCUAGGAAUCUGCCUGGUAGUGGGGGAUAACGUCCGGAAACGGGCGCUAAUACCGCAUACGUCCUGAGGGAGAAAGUGGGGGAUCUUCGGACCUCACGCUAUCAGAUGAGCCUAGGUCGGAUUAGCUAGUUGGUGGGGUAAAGGCCUACCAAGGCGACGAUCCGUAACUGGUCUGAGAGGAUGAUCAGUCACACUGGAACUGAGACACGGUCCAGACUCCUACGGGAGGCAGCAGUGGGGAAUAUUGGACAAUGGGCGAAAGCCUGAUCCAGCCAUGUCGCGUGUGUGAAGAAGGUCUUCGGAUUGUAAAGCACUUUAAGUUGGGAGGAAGGGCAGUAAGUUAAUACCUUGCUGUUUUGACGUUACCAACAGAAUAAGCACCGGCUAACUUCGUG
RNAcentral lists this ribosomal RNA (484 nucleotides) under uncultured bacterium. RNAcentral describes it as "partial 16S ribosomal RNA". It matches the Rfam family "Bacterial small subunit ribosomal RNA", at positions 30 to 507 of the family's 1533-position model. The record is from RNAcentral.